CAACCCUCAGGUCCCCCUUUUCGGAGGGGGAGACACCCUGGUGUUGGGGGACGGCAUCCCGGCCCGCUGUCUCAGUGUGCCACGCCGCCCCCGAAAUGAAUUGGCGGCCUCGUCGCGUGCCACCCCUGCGUAGUAGCACAACCUCGCAACGGGAGCCCGACGCGGCCACUGCCGUAAAACGCCCAACUUUUACAG
RNAcentral lists this unclassified non-coding RNA (195 nucleotides) under uncultured Ascomycota. Its description in RNAcentral is "sequence contains ITS2". The record is from RNAcentral. Lineage: Eukaryota; Fungi; Ascomycota.